Molecule: ribosomal RNA, 494 nt
Filed under: uncultured Pseudomonadota bacterium
Lineage: Bacteria; Pseudomonadati; Pseudomonadota
Description: bacterial SSU rRNA
Rfam family: Bacterial small subunit ribosomal RNA
Source: RNAcentral
UGGGGAAUAUUGGACAAUGGGCGAAAGCCUGAUCCAGCCAUGCCGCGUGUGUGAAGAAGGUCUUCGGAUUGUAAAGCACUUUAAGUUGGGAGGAAGGGCAUUAACCUAAUACGUUAGUGUUUUGACGUUACCGACAGAAUAAGCACCGGCUAACUCUGUGCCAGCAGCCGCGGUAAUACAGAGGGUGCAAGCGUUAAUCGGAAUUACUGGGCGUAAAGCGCGCGUAGGUGGUUUGUUAAGUUGAAUGUGAAAUCCCCGGGCUCAACCUGGGAACUGCAUCCAAAACUGGCAAGCUAGAGUAUGGUAGAGGGUAGUGGAAUUUCCUGUGUAGCGGUGAAAUGCGUAGAUAUAGGAAGGAACACCAGUGGCGAAGGCGACUACCUGGACUGAUACUGACACUGAGGUGCGAAAGCGUGGGGAGCGAAAACAGGAUUAGAUACCCUGGUAGUCCACGCCGUAAACGAUGUCAACUAGCCGUUGGGAGUCUUGAACUC